RNAcentral lists this ribosomal RNA (330 nucleotides) under uncultured bacterium. RNAcentral describes it as "bacterial SSU rRNA". It matches the Rfam family "Bacterial small subunit ribosomal RNA", at positions 568 to 898 of the family's 1533-position model. The record is from RNAcentral.
UUCGUAGGCGGUGCGGCAAGUUGGGAGUGAAAUCUCUGGGCUUAACCCAGAGGCUGCUUUCAAAACUGCCGUGCUCGAGUGCGAGAGAGGCCAGUGGAAUUGCAGGUGUAGCGGUGAAAUGCGUAGAUAUCUGCAGGAACACCCGUGGCGAAAGCGGCUGGCUGGAUCGCAACUGACGCUGAGGAACGAAAGCUAGGGGAGCAAACAGGAUUAGAUACCCUGGUAGUCCUAGCCCUAAACCAUCAGGACUUGGGGUGGCCCGCGUAGGCGGGUCGUCUCGUGGCUAACGCGUUAAGUCCUGCGCCUGGGGAGUACGGUCGCAAGACUGAA